This is a long non-coding RNA of Ziziphus jujuba (common jujube), 296 nucleotides long. RefSeq lists it as uncharacterized. The transcript has 4 exons. The record is from RefSeq and is a predicted model, not a curated record. Lineage: Eukaryota; Viridiplantae; Streptophyta; Magnoliopsida; Rosales; Rhamnaceae.
AUACAGCUUGCUCUACGGAAACGACUUUUCGGGCAGGAUACCUCCAGAAAUAUUUAAUUUGUCAGGUCUCAGUGAUCUGAUGAUAAGUGGUGUGCUGUACUCUUCUUUCCAAUUCCCACCGGUUUCAAACCUAUCCGACAUAACUAAUCUGGUAAUGAGAAACUGCGAGAUCACAGGUGCAAUUCCUAGAUACCUUUUUAAUGUGUCAUCAUUAAAACAUUUAGACUUGAGCUUCAACAACUUAACCGGUGAUAUUCCAGAACUUUUGACCAAUGAUUUAAACUUAACCUAUAUGU